This 461-nucleotide ribosomal RNA is filed under the name uncultured Owenweeksia sp. RNAcentral's name for it is "bacterial SSU rRNA". It matches the Rfam family "Bacterial small subunit ribosomal RNA", at positions 335 to 793 of the family's 1533-position model. Lineage: Bacteria; Pseudomonadati; Bacteroidota; Flavobacteriia; Flavobacteriales; Owenweeksiaceae. The record is from RNAcentral.
ACUCCUACGGGAGGCAGCAGUAAGGAAUAUUGGACAAUGGGCGCAAGCCUGAUCCAGCCAUGCCGCGUGCAGGAUGAAAGUGCUCUGCACUGUAAACUGCUUUUGUUUGGGAAAAAACCCCUGGUUUCUACCGGGGCUGAUUGUACCAAAAGAAUAAGGGACGGCUAACUUCGUGCCAGCAGCCGCGGUAAUACGAAGGUCCCAAGCGUUAUCCGGAUUUAUUGGGUUUAAAGGGUGCGUAGGCGGGCUAUUAAGUCAGUGGUGAAAGCCCCAAGCUUAACUUGGGAACUGCCAUUGAUACUGAUGGUCUUGAGUACAUUUGAGGUGGGCGGAAUGUGUCAUGUAGCGGUGAAAUGCUUAGAUAUGACACAGAACACCGAUUGCGAAGGCAGCUCACUAAACUGUAACUGACGCUGAGGCACGAAAGCGUGGGGAGCAAACAGGAUUAGAUACCCUGGUAG